Long non-coding RNA from Ictalurus punctatus (channel catfish), 1833 nucleotides. Lineage: Eukaryota; Metazoa; Chordata; Actinopteri; Siluriformes; Ictaluridae. The record is from Ensembl.
AGAAAUGCGUGUAUUACAUUGAGAGAAGUAUUACAUGGAGCGAUUUCUUAUAAGAAGUUCCAGGAACUCCGCCUCUGUGACGGCAGAGAUAUUGGUGUUUCUUAGAUCACAGCUUCAAAACUAAGAUAUAUACCUACAGGUACAGACAGUUUCACAAAAGUGAGUACACCCCUCACAUUUUUGUAAAUAUUUGAUUAUAUUUUGAUUUAUAUCUUUGAUUAGACAUUAAUGGCUGUGUGUUGAGUUAUUUUGAGGGGACAGCAAAUUUACACUGUUACACAAGCUGUACACUCACUACUUUACAUUGCAGCAAAGUGUCAUUUCUUCAGUGUUGUCACAUGAAAAGAUAUAAUCAAAUAUUUACAAAAAUGUGAGGGGUGUACUCACUUUUGUGAGAUACUGUAUAUAUACAGAGAGAGAUAUAAUAACGGUAAAAAUAUUUGCUAACGGAAUGAGUCCAGUUCGAGCAAUAAAUAAUUAAAGAAAGUACUUAUUAAGAAGCACAAGUUAUUAUGAAGUUUCAUGCCCCAUUGACUCAUUCCAUCAUAUCAGCGGUACAUGAUACAUUUGUCAAAUUUAACACACAAGUAAAUGUUACUGAGAUUAAAAAAAAAUAAUUUAAAAAAUAUAUAUAAAAAAAAAAAGCAGGGAAAAGAAAACUGUAAGCCCUACCAAAUUGCUGUAUGUGGACUCGCACGCACAGUGUGCUAAAUUGCAGAAAGCCGAUCCCGACCUGGACUCCGCCCCACCGCGACGCCCACAGCCAGUAAGGCAGGAGGAAUCUGCAGUUUUAGGGACACCUCCUCACAAUGAAGCGGCCCAGCCUACGCCACUCUCCGAACCUGUCAGAACUGAGCCACCAACCCCCACCGAACUAUUCUCCAGCCAUCCUAGCUUCACCAGUGGCGCUACACACGAGAGCGCAAGUGAAGGGACUAACAACAUUGUUGCCUGAGUGCUUCAGACCAACAAAAUCGGACAGAGAAGGGACAAUGCACGCCGCGGUAAAUGCCCCAAUGCCAGAAGUGGCCAGAGAAGGAGUCCCUAUGCUAGUUCACAGACCCUGGACAUUGGAAGACAUCAAGAGCAGCGUAACGCAUCUGCCGGCACUCCGCAAAGUAGGAGGACGAAAAAUUGGGGAUGAACUUCAGAUAUUCUGCAGAGAAUUCAGACCCACCACUCAUGAACUACGACGACUGUUCAUGGCAAAACGUGGCACGGACUGGGUCAAGGUUUCACGUGAAUUUCCAGAGGAUGAUGUCCGCCUGAUCAACCCACAGUGGUAUGAGCUUCCAGUUCAUGGCAGGCCUGUGCCUUGGUGGUUCCUUGGUUUUCCUGACCAUCCGAACCAAGUUCCUCUCAGUUAAGGGUGACCGUUUGGGUCUUCUUCCAGACCUUGGCAAAGUGGCUACAUUUCCCAAUAACAUGUACAAUUGUUUGAACUGAUGAACUUGGAAUCUGCAAUUGUUUAGAAAUUGCUCCAAGAGACAUUCCUGUCUUGUGUAAAUUUAGCUUCCUCUUUUUCAGAUCUGCACUGUGCUCCUUGGACUUUCCCAUAGUACUGUGUGUUGGUCAAUCCUAUGAGUGCUGUUAAACAAGCCCUUUUUAUGUUGUCACAGAGAAGCUGCCAGCUGUAGUCAAUCAUGAUCACUAACAGGAAAUUAAGAGUCCUUGAUCUUGGCAAGUUAAAGGAUAUUUUGGAGCUUGCAGCACCAUUGAAUUAAUAAUCUAAGUGUUUGUAUGUAUAUUUUUGACCUGUAUGUAUAAUUUUGGUCCUGUGUUGAUUACAGAUGUAUGCUGUACAAUCAUUCUGCUUCAGAAAAAGAAAAGCCC